This 253-nucleotide ribosomal RNA is filed under the name uncultured bacterium. RNAcentral's name for it is "partial 16S ribosomal RNA". It matches the Rfam family "Bacterial small subunit ribosomal RNA", at positions 524 to 776 of the family's 1533-position model. The record is from RNAcentral.
UACGGAGGGGGCAAGCGUUGUUCGGAAUUACUGGGCGUAAAGGGCGCGUAGGUGGCCUUCUAAGUUGAACGUGAAAUCCCUGGGCUCAACCCAGGAACUGCGUCCAAGACUGGGAGGCUUGAAUCCGGGAGAGGGAUGCGGAAUUCCAGGUGUAGCGGUGAAAUGCGUAGAUAUCUGGAGGAACACCGGUGGCGAAGGCGACAUCCUGGACCGGUAUUGACACUGAGGCGCGAAAGCCAGGGGAGCAAACGGG